RNAcentral lists this ribosomal RNA (253 nucleotides) under uncultured bacterium. RNAcentral describes it as "partial 16S ribosomal RNA". It matches the Rfam family "Archaeal small subunit ribosomal RNA", at positions 474 to 727 of the family's 1478-position model. The record is from RNAcentral.
UACCAGCACCCCGAGUGGUCGGGACGAUUAUUGGGCCUAAAGCAUCCGUAGCCGGUCCUACAAGUCUUCCGUUAAAUCCACCUGCUUAACAGAUGGGCUGCGGAAGAUACUAUAGGGCUAGGAGGCGGGAGAGGCAAGCGGUACUCAGUGGGUAGGGGUAAAAUCCUCUGAUCCAUUGAAGACCACCAGUGGCGAAGGCGGCUUGCCAGAACGUGCUCGACGGUGAGGGAUGAAAGCUGGGGGAGCAAACCGG